Molecule: RNA transcript, 3493 nt
Organism: Panicum hallii
Lineage: Eukaryota; Viridiplantae; Streptophyta; Magnoliopsida; Poales; Poaceae
Exons: 4
Source: RefSeq, a predicted model, not a curated record
UUUUUAAAAAAAGAAGAAAAGAAAAAUGGUGAAUAGAAACCAAGCAGCACAGGAAACGAACACUAGAGUAGACAAAGUAACCACCAUUCCUCAAUUCUAAUCAGAACCAACAAACAUCUCGGUCAAGAAGAGCUCGUCUGUCUGACGAUGAAUGAAGCAGCGUGAGGCACGGAGAGUGCUUCACUGGGCCAGCCGGCCAGGAGUAGAAGCAUAAUGUUGCAUGUCCCGCUGCGCCGCCCCUGCGCCGGGCCGUCCGCCGAUCCGCCGCCGCCGCGGCGUCCCCGUCCCCGUGCCCCAUCGCCGCCGUCGCGCCGCCGCCCCCCGCGCUUUAGGCCACGCCGCCGUGUUUCGCAUCUACGGCGGACCGUGUUCGUCUCAUCUGACUCCGACCUCGUCAGUGAUCAUGAGGUGUCUCGUCAUCCGCUCACCAGUCUGCCAGGCCCCCGUAUGUGGUGUCUUUCUGCUCGACUGCCUCCCCACGACCCUCAAGAUGUCAUAGACUCAUUACCCGCUCAAGAUGUCAUAGACUCAUUACCCGCUCGACGUACUCGCGCUCUCGAGGCUUUUGACGUCUUAACCUCUGGCAUCUCCCAGUACCCACUCAAUGGAAUACUGGAUGGGUAAGAGACAACAAACAUCGAUUGCUGACCAGUGUGUGGAUGGCCUCUGCAAGCACCUAUCCUGGUAAGUGCAGCAACCGAUAUUGUGUUGAAAGCUGACGAAAAUAGAAGGGGAUGACUGGGUGGCUACACAGCUCAGGGUAAGGACCAGUUUGGAGUUGUGCAUCUUCUUUAUGAAAUAUAUUGUGUAUUGCAGUCCUGGCAUUAUUCCAAUAAGGAUAUCUAUCAGUAGGAUCAGCUUGCUGUGUGUUUGCUGCCCCCUUAAUAUUGAAGUCAUAUAUUAUAUAAGUAGUUGACUUCGAUAAAAUAGGAGAACUAAACUUUUAUACAUUUUGAGUGGAUAGGCUUCGAUCAGAUGCUGGAGCUUCUAGCCUAAACAACUGCUGCAAUGGAUGCACUCAGAUUUUCAUGACUGUUGGUUUUGUCCUAUCACUUGAAUUUCCAGUUAAGUCUGAAAUAAUUUGACAAGAUGCAAGCUGCAAGUUAGAUUUCAACCUUACAAUGAGUAUUCGUAGCUUGUGAUGAAUUGGCGCAUGAUUUUCAUUUUGUUUUUUCAUCAAUGUCCUAACUCUUAAGUCCUUACAAGUACAAUGAUUGAGAUUUUCAUUUUUAUAGUGAGUAUUUAUGAUGGUUAGUUCAUUCUCUGAAGUUUCAAAAUGGCUUGAGUACUAAAAAAUAUGCAUUACCUGCAGCUUUGAACUACACUUUCCCCUUCUCUAUAUAUACAAUUUUUGUUGAUUAUUCAUUGAAUGCAGAAACGUGUGCUAUACCAUACAAUGGAAAGUCCAUUAUAUCUUUGUGCUGUAUAACUCAGUGCAGAUAUGCUACGCUGCUCUAAUUUUCCCAAAUAGAUGGAACUGAAAUGCGACUUUGAAGUAUUCUGACACUCUUGCAGUAUCCAAACUCAUUUUAUUAUGGGUUCUUUGUGUCUAAUCUAAAGCAGGUGAGAGCCUAGAGGUUAGCCUGAACAAAGAUUUUACACAUGUCUGACUAAUGACUCACUAUUCCUUCCGAUCUGAUUAAUGCAAUAGCUACGAGGCAACCUGCAGAAACCAAAUAGUGCAAUGGGGCUAGGCUCGGUUUCUAACUGUUCAUACGAUAUUAGUAAACACAGUCAACAAGAUCCUAGAAUUUCCUAUGGGCACACAUGAUAUGUUACCAUUAAAUUAAAUUGCGAAUAGGAAUUGAGUUUGUAGGAUACUUUUGGUCAGCGUGGCUCUUAGGCAACUUCAAUUCACAGUUUGUUAUGCCUCACAUUCAGUUGUGCUAACUCAUUGGAUUGUGGGACAUUCCUUCAAAAUAUAGUCUAAUAUUACUGCACGACCUGUACAAGAUCUUUAGCAUGGUUAGCACAUGGUUAAUGACAUUCCAAUCCAGAUUUUGUGUCUUCUCUGGUGUUUGAGCGCUGCAUAUUUUCCAUUGCAGACAUGUCUUCAACAGCUUUCACCCAACCACUACAGAUUGACUUUAUGAGGAAGAUUCUAGGCAAAGAACCGAGGAUUGACUUUAGAAAUUUUGCUCCCAUGGCUUAUGUCAAGGCUUGAUAUUGUACAACACAGAGAGAUCAAUUUUCGCAUUUUCGAAGGCAGGCGCUCAAGGUCAGGGCUGAUGGCGUUGUGCAUCUAUUGAAAUUGCGGUAUGUCAUGGUGAAGGUUAUGUUAUGUUAUAGUUUGUAAAAUGAGAGAUUUGUGAAUGCCCUAAAACUCAUUGCUGGUUGUAGUUCUCCUUGAAUUUGGAGGUAGUCAUUGUGGCCUAAAAUAAUUCGUGCUGGCUAGGACCUUCACACAAUGGAUGCAGCUAUGAAGGUAUUUUUCUGAUUUGCAGCUUCUAUGGGCUAAAGAAUGGGUGCAUAUACAAGGUGCAAAAAAAUUUGGAAUUUGAGGUUUACAGCACCAGCACAGAGCACAUCUAUCUACAUUAUAGAGAAUGCACGUGAGUUUUUCCAUAGUUCUAUUUUUGUUGAACUUGCAGUAUACAACUAACAUGUGUAGUAAUCUAGCUCUGAUAAGUGGCUUCUGUUGGCAUUGGAAAUUCUGAUUGAUCCAUUUGGCUGGAGAGAUAUCAAUAUAUUUUCAGCACUCAUUGAACUGGCAAAUUUCUAGGAGCACUCUGGCUUCUUUCUAUAAUGAUCUCUGUGCGUGUGAUAUUGGAAUCUGAUCAAACAACUUCAUUAAAUUCGAUAUUGGUGAUCUUAAAACGCUAAGUUUAUGUAUGUUUCUCUUAUUGCAAUGGACGGGCAUAGACCUAGUCAAACUAAAAAUUAUUUCCUGUGUCAUAAUCUGAACCAAACAUUAGCCCCAAAUGUGGUUGUCACCCAAACAUGCAGUGAAGCACGUAAGGUGGGCCCUUCCUUUGGAGAAAAUGAUGCUUCCAGUACAAAAUUUUGCUCCAUUUUAACAUUAAUCUAAGCUUAUGUACACGGAGAUCCAGUGAAGGAGGGCAAUAGUAUCCAUUUUGACAUUGAUACAAACAUAUUGGCAUCGGUACACGCUACAUAGUGAUCUGGUAGAGGACAGUAGUAGUGCAGUGACUACCAAUAUAUACAGCAAAAGGGUGAUCUUUUUAGUUAUGGCAGUACUUCCAGUGGAGAUAAUGUUGCAAAAGAUAAAAUGGUUCUGCUGUUCUGCUCUGACCAUUCUUUGUAGGACCUGCUAUAUACAACAAAAUGUAGUUCCUAUAUAGAGCUACAGAUGUAGUAGGUAGUUUCUGUCCAAGAACAAACUACUCGAUAUGUAGUUCUUACAUUCUGAAGCAUGAUAAUAUCCUGAAAAUGUACCUCUUUGGAUUACUUUGAUUUCUUGUAUAUCAUUUUCAUUGAUGUACCAGAGACAUUCUGCUGCGUCACCUAGGAAAUAAGAGCUUAAUUUUAUGCA